GGUAUAAUAGCUCAGUGGUAGAGUGCGUGCUUAGCAUGCAUGAGGUCCUAUGUUCGAUCCCCAGUACCU
This 69-nucleotide transfer RNA is filed under the name Camelus bactrianus (Bactrian camel). It matches the Rfam family "tRNA". From Rfam's summary of the family: Transfer RNA (tRNA) molecules are approximately 80 nucleotides in length. Their secondary structure includes four short double-helical elements and three loops (D, anti-codon, and T loops). RNAcentral also lists the same sequence under 2 other names. The record is from Rfam by way of RNAcentral. Lineage: Eukaryota; Metazoa; Chordata; Mammalia; Artiodactyla; Camelidae.